This 283-nucleotide ribosomal RNA is filed under the name uncultured bacterium. RNAcentral describes it as "partial 16S ribosomal RNA". It matches the Rfam family "Bacterial small subunit ribosomal RNA", at positions 30 to 311 of the family's 1533-position model. The record is from RNAcentral.
AUUGAACGCUGGCGGCAUGCCUUACACAUGCAAGUCGAACGGCAGCACGGGGGCAACCCUGGUGGCGAGUGGCGAACGGGUGAGUAAUGCAUCGGAACGUGCCCAGUAGUGGGGGAUAACUAGUCGAAAGAUUAGCUAAUACCGCAUACGACCUAUGGGUGAAAGCGGGGGACCUUUACCGGCCUCGCGCUAUCGGAGCGGCCGAUGUCUGAUUAGCUAGUUGGCGGGGUAAAAGCCCACCAAGGCUUCGAUCAGUAGCUGGUCUGAGAGGACGACCAGCCAC